Molecule: ribosomal RNA, 521 nt
Filed under: Havaika cf. pubens MAA-2006
Lineage: Eukaryota; Metazoa; Arthropoda; Arachnida; Araneae; Salticidae
Description: partial 16S ribosomal RNA
Rfam family: Bacterial large subunit ribosomal RNA
Source: RNAcentral
UUCUAUUAGAAAAUAUUUAAUAGUAAAGUCUGCUCAAUGAUUAUUUAAAUAGCCGCAAUUUGUGCUAAGGUAGCAUAAUCACUUGUCUUUUAAAUGAAGACUAGAACAAAAGAUUUAACAUUUUAGCUUAUUUACCCAAUUUAAAAAUUAAAUCUCUCCUAAAUGUAAAAAGACGUUUAUAACUUAGAAAGACGAUAAGACCCUAUUGAACUUAACUGUAGUUAAACUGGGGCAGUAAAUUAAUUAUUAUUUUAAUAAAAACAUAAACAUUAUUAUCUAAUAAAAUUAAAUAAUUAAGUUACCAUAGGGAUAACAGCGUAAUAGAAUUUUAAAGACCUUAUUCCAAAAUCAAUUUACGACCUCGAUGUUGAAUUAAUAUGCUAAUUAAGGCAAGACUUAAAAAAGCAAGUCUGUUCGACUUUUAAAAAAUUACAUGAUUUGAGUUCAGACCGGCGUAAGCCAGGUCGGUUUCUAUCUUCUAAAUAAUUUUUUACAGUACGAAAGGRCCUAAAAAUUUAAUU